UUAAACUGAAGAGUUUGAUCAUGGCUCAGAUUGAACGCUGGCGGCAGGCUUAACACAUGCAAGUCGAGCGGUAACAGGGGGAGCUUGCUCCCUGCUGACGAGCGGCGGACGGGUGAGUAAUGCAUAGGAAUCUGCCCAGUAGUGGGGGAUAGCCCGGGGAAACCCGGAUUAAUACCGCAUACGCCCUACGGGGGAAAGCAGGGGAUCUUCGGACCUUGCGCUAUUGGAUGAGCCUAUGUCGGAUUAGCUAGUUGGUGGGGUAAAGGCCUACCAAGGCGACGAUCCGUAGCUGGUCUGAGAGGAUGAUCAGCCACAUC
RNAcentral lists this ribosomal RNA (317 nucleotides) under Methanobacteriota archaeon. Its description in RNAcentral is "bacterial SSU rRNA". It matches the Rfam family "Bacterial small subunit ribosomal RNA", at positions 1 to 314 of the family's 1533-position model. Lineage: Archaea; Methanobacteriati; Methanobacteriota. The record is from RNAcentral.